RNAcentral lists this transfer RNA (65 nucleotides) under Dipodomys ordii (Ord's kangaroo rat). It matches the Rfam family "tRNA". Rfam says of the family: Transfer RNA (tRNA) molecules are approximately 80 nucleotides in length. Their secondary structure includes four short double-helical elements and three loops (D, anti-codon, and T loops). The record is from Rfam by way of RNAcentral. Lineage: Eukaryota; Metazoa; Chordata; Mammalia; Rodentia; Heteromyidae.
GGUGGCUCAGUGGUAGAGCGCUUGCCUUGAAUGCAUCACGUCCUGGGUUCGAUUCCUCAGCACCA